CCUACGGGCGGCAGCAGUGAGGAAUAUUGGUCAAUGGGCGGAAGCCUGAACCAGCCAAGUAGCGUGCAGGAUGACGGCCCUACGGGUUGUAAACUGCUUUUAUACGGGAAUAACGCGCCUUACGUGUAGGUCUUUGCAUGUACCGUAUGAAUAAGGACCGGCUAAUUCCGUGCCAGCAGCCGCGGUAAUACGGAAGGUCCGGGCGUUAUCCGGAUUUAUUGGGUUUAAAGGGAGCGUAGGCCGCAUGUCAAGCGUGCUGUGAAAUGUCCGGGCUCAACCCGGGCCAUGCAGCGCGAACUGGGGUGCUUGAGUCCGCGGAAAGCAGGCGGAAUUCGUCGUGUAGCGGUGAAAUGCUUAGAUAUGACGAAGAACCCCGAUUGCGAAGGCAGCUUGCUGCAGCGUAACUGACGCUGAUGCUCGAAAGCGCGGGUAUCGAACAGGAUUAGAUACCCCAGUAGUC
Molecule: ribosomal RNA, 460 nt
Filed under: uncultured bacterium
Lineage: Bacteria
Description: partial 16S ribosomal RNA
Rfam family: Bacterial small subunit ribosomal RNA
Source: RNAcentral